Molecule: long non-coding RNA, 326 nt
Organism: Canis lupus familiaris (dog)
Lineage: Eukaryota; Metazoa; Chordata; Mammalia; Carnivora; Canidae
Exons: 3
Source: RefSeq, a predicted model, not a curated record
AAGAAAAGAAAAAAGAAAUUAUUCCUCGACACAAGAUUUCACUACCUCAAAGGAAAUUAGAAGAGUAUCUAUUUGCAUUCCCCUAGGUGAUUGGCAGUUCAACACCAAUUAGUUCAAAAUUACACUGUUACUAGCGUGCAAUAAAAACAACACCUUUCAUCUUCCUUACACAGAAUACAAAGGUACUGCAACUUGACACACCACAAAAAUGAAACAAGUAUAUUUUCUGUGCUCUUAAGAAUAAAGAAUACAAAAAAAAAAAAAAGAAUAAAGAAUACAAGCUUCAAUGAAAAAGGCUUUUAAAGGAAGAUCAAAAUCAAGCAGGA